This 470-nucleotide ribosomal RNA is filed under the name Escherichia coli. RNAcentral describes it as "partial 23S ribosomal RNA". It matches the Rfam family "Bacterial large subunit ribosomal RNA", at positions 1151 to 1620 of the family's 2925-position model. Lineage: Bacteria; Pseudomonadati; Pseudomonadota; Gammaproteobacteria; Enterobacterales; Enterobacteriaceae. The record is from RNAcentral.
GAGUGACACUGCGCCGAAAAUGUACCGGGGCUAAACAUAUUACCGAAGCUGUGGAUUGUCCUUUGGACAAUGGUAGGAGAGCGUUCUAAGGGCGUUGAAGCAUGAUCGUAAGGACAUGUGGAGCGCUUAGAAGUGAGAAUGCCGGUGUGAGUAGCGAAAGACGGGUGAGAAUCCCGUCCACCGAUUGACUAAGGUUUCCAGAGGAAGGCUCGUCCGCUCUGGGUUAGUCGGGUCCUAAGCUGAGGCCGACAGGCGUAGGCGAUGGAUAACAGGUUGAUAUUCCUGUACCACCUAUAAUCGUUUUAAUCGAUGGGGGGACGCAGUAGGAUAGGCGAAGCGUGCGAUUGGAUUGCACGUCUAAGCAGUAAGGCUGAGUAUUAGGCAAAUCCGGUACUCGUUAAGGCUGAGCUGUGAUGGGGAGAAGACAUUGUGUCUUCGAGUCGUUGAUUUCACACUGCCGAGAAAAGCCU